CAUUACUUGGUCGCAAAGUGGGUAUGUGGAGCCUUGUAGGUUACAGUUAUACUGGAAUUAAGUUUGGUUUGGUUUUGUUUUGUGAAAGUGGUACAUUGUAAUAAGGAUAUGGGUAGUAUGGAAGAUAGUUUUUAAAAAGGAAGAAAGAAAAAUCUAUAGUCCUGUCACCCAGAGCUAUUGUUAACACUGUUUGGGUAUAUUCUGCCUGGUAUUGUUCUGUACAGGCAUGUGCUGCUCAGCAAAAAUGGACUCGUAUUAAGUAUUGUGAAACUUUCUUUUUCCACUUUUUAUCUUCAGUAGCAUUGUUUUGUUUUGAAGCAUAAUACGCACACAGAAAAGUGCACAUAUCAUAAUUACCUCUGUAACCAACAUCCAGAUCAGAAUCAACAUUAACAGUACCCCCAGAAGUCUCCCUACACCUCCCUUCCAAUAGCCCACUGCCCCCUCAAAGGUAACUACUAUCUUGACUUCUAACAGCAUAGGUAGCUUUUGUUUUUGUUCUUUAUAUAAAUGCAAUUUAUACAGUAUAUAAUUUCAUGUUUAGUGUCUUUGCUUUUAACACUGUGUGUGUGGGAUUCAUCCAUACUGUUUUCAUUGCAGCAUAAUCCGUACGUUAACAGACCACAAUUUAUCCAUUCUGCUGAUGGAUGCCAUAUUCUACUUUUGCCUUUUAAUGCUGGCACUGUUUUUUCCUCCCAAGGAAAAGCCAGAGCUACAGUAGAUGAGAGGAAUACUGACUUAACACAUUGAGGACUUACAGUGUUGUGAAAGGUAGUAGUGCCCAACUGUGGUGCUGCUCCCACACUAGUGCACCACUGCAAGUCAUCUGUUACUGACCCUAAAGUACCAGAAAACCCUCAUGUAUAUCUAGAUGUAUCUAUAAGAGCAGGUGCGGGGUUAAUUCUUGUCUGUGUGCCUUGCCUUUGUCCCCUAAAAACACUGCUCCCCUACCACCCUUCCUAGAGAUGAUGGCACAGGAGUAUUUCUUGCCCUGCAAACCUAUGUUCCAGAAGUGAGCUUCGUAUCCUUGUUCCUCCCCUUCCAGUAAAAUCCCUGCUUACUCUGUUGAGGCUCAUGUGAUCCUCUUUCAAGUAAGAUCAUCUCAUGACCUGAUUACUGCCUGUCUUGAAAAAUCUGAUACCUGCCUUCUUCUAAACUUCUUUCCUUCCAAGUGACUUCAGCUUCUGUGUGGUUUACCCAUCUGUGUUGGGAGUCCCCAAGAUACUCAUACUCACAUCUGUGAUUCUUACAGUAAGAGGAUACAAAGCAAAAUUAACAAAAGGAAAAGACACUUGACAAAGUCUAGAGGAAAGCAGGCUCAAACUUUCAGAGGGGUCUUUUAAAGUGGAAUAACAAGAUGUAGUUCAUUCUCCCCAGCAACAAGUUGUUGCAACAUCUAUGGAAUGUUGUCUACCAGGAAAGCUCAUUAGAAACUCAGUUCCCAGGGUUUUGAUUGGGGGUUAAUUAUGUAGGCAUCCUCUGCUUGGCACAUACCAAAAUCCCAGACUCCCAGAAGUAAAGCACAGGUAAACCACAUUGUUUAUACAAACAGUUUAAGGACAGUGAGCCAGUCUUAUCAUAUCUGGGAACGGUAGAAACCCUCCCGAAAUCAAGAGUUGCUAGAUGCCAGCCAAGGGCCAAACUUCAAAGCAGGCCUUAUAAAGGAUAGAAUUCAAGUCUGCUAUGUUAACUCUUCUGGAGCUUUCCUAUACCCCUAGUCUACUUGUCCUAUGACCUUCUCUCAGCCCCUCCUAUACAAAGCUGUGCGCACACCUGGACCUUGUCCAUCAAUCUCAACCAUCACCUCUAAAUCAUGGAUUUAGGCGCCCCACACUAGGAUCUUCCAACUGCCUUGCUCAAGAAAUAACUAACAACACAAUACAGUGAUCUAACCACUCGGUAACUGCUGUUAGCCUGGUGCAGGCCUCCAGGUCAGGGAUUUUUCCACUUUGGAUUCAUUAGUUCUCUCCUUAUGCAUUCCCACCACCAUCUCCAGCCUAGACUCCUUGAUCCAUCAUUUAUCUUGCAAAUAUCUUCAACUCUCUUGCUCUUACGAGCUUGUGCUCUUACCUAGAGAAAUGUCAACCCUGAGAGUAUCCACCCAUCCACAGUAUCAAUACCAAGAGCAUUGAGUGCUGCAGAAGAGAAUGACAUUAGAGUAAGUUAGCACCACUGUAAAUAUAAAUACUGCUUUCUACUGGGUCCUCAACAUUGCCAGUAAAACUUAGUACAUUUUUAUAAUCACCUCUAUGCAGUCACCAAAUGUCUUUGCCAUCUCUUUCAAAGAAAAUUCGACAUGGAUCGAAUGCCUCAAACACUUGCCGCACUCUAAACCAGCUUCAUCUGCAUCCAGCCUUUUCUUGCUGGCCGUAUCAAAAACAGAAAAACUUCACCCGUUCAAGAAACUGCCUGUGCUCUAGCUCCCUAACUUCCUCCAUUCCCAGACUUAUACUGAUUUCUCUCUUUGACUGCCUACGUCUUUAACUUCUUCCUUGAUAAGGGAUCCUUUAUAUUUACAUGUAAGUAUUAGGCUGGCAUAUUGUAUAACAGUAAUAUGUUAAUCAUAUAUACUAAUAUAUAAUUGUAAUUAGCAUAUUAAUCAUGUUGUAAACUCCUUUUUUCAGAAAAUUAUGCUUGGAUUCAACAUCCUACCAGCCCCUACUUAGCUCUUAACUGUCAAGAUGCUUAAUCUCCCUUUGACUUCAUAACCCACUUGAUCUACUCUCAGUUUUUGUGUUCUUGAUCCCAGUAUAUAACAGCAUCACCUGCUACUAAUCUGAGUGUGCCAGAACCCUGGAAGCCAUCUUUGAUACUCCAUUUCCUUCAAUUCUGCACCAGCGUAACACCUGUUACCAAGUUGUCAGUUCUACUUCCUAAAUAUAUCUAAUCCCCUUUUUUAAUUAAAAAAAAUAGUUUGAUUACUUUGAUAGGAGAUGUGUGUUUUACUCUGAAUCCCUCAGAAAGGCAGCAAUCUAGCAAUCUUGUCCCUUCCUAUCUCUAGUCUUAUGUUUUCAGUUUUUUCUAUGGAAAAGGGGAAACUAUUCAACAAAUAAUUGAGUCCUAACCGUGGAAGAGGUAAAAGUCCAAUUGUAGGGUAAGCAGUGGUGAACAAAACAAACCCAGACGUUAUUUGAGCUUGUAUUCUACUAGGAGGAGA
Non-coding RNA from Manis javanica (Malayan pangolin), 3157 nucleotides. Lineage: Eukaryota; Metazoa; Chordata; Mammalia; Pholidota; Manidae. The record is from RefSeq and is a predicted model, not a curated record.